GUUGCAGGGUAAUCAGCUCCAGCUUCUUUCCUUGAAUAUGUCUCUCCCUGGAAGUGAAAUUCCAGAUUGGUUCAGCCAUCAGUGCAUGGGGUCUUCGGUAACUAUGCAGCUACCGCUGAAUUCAUACCAUAAUAAGGUAUUGGGGUUUGCUAUAUGCACUGUUAGUAAGUUCAGGGGUGCUCAUUAUUGUGCAUCUGAUCUCUCUGUUCGAUGUUUUUGCACCUUCAAAGGAGAUCAUAGUGAUUUCAAUUACAAUUUCUAUAUGGUUGAUUGGGGAUCCAGAGUCAGAUUCCUUGACUCAGAUCACAUCUUUCUGGGAUAUGUUCCAUGGUCUAAAUGUACCUUGAUUGAAACUGGAAAGCUGCCCAGUAAACAUUGUUACACUGAGGCUACAUUCAAAAUUGUAGUAAAAGAAAAUGGAGUCUAUGCGAGCAAUUUCAGGGGCUGCAGUACGAUACCCUUCUAUUGGAAGGGUCGGACUUCAUUUCAUUUAUGCCAAUCAUGAGACAGACAGCAGUUGCUAACUAUGCUUAGAUGAGCAGCCAGGGUUGCUGCUAUAAUGAGGCUGGAUGGUCAAGCGAAGGAAUGCUUCUUGUAAGCAAGGGGUGCAAUAUCCUUAAAGGAAUUCAAAACAUUACUAAUCUGAAAAUGACAGUGGUGAAAUGCCUUCACUGGGAAUUGUUGAUGACCCGGAAUGGUGGUGGUGCAACCCUGCAGAUUGGUUUUCUCUUCAGCUCACAUUAACAAUGUCAAGAAAAGAAGUUGUUUGGUUGAAAAACCUUCUAGUUGCUUGAUGAAGGGGAAAACAAUUGUAUUUGUUGGAGUUGGGAACAUCUUCCUAUAGACUUAAUCGUUUAAUGCUUUGCCUUGAUUGGUUUAAUACAAGCUUGUAAUAUCUUCUGUUCUCUACUUUGCCCUCAUAUAAGUUUCAAAGAAAAGUAGGAACGCUUUUGAUUCCGAGAAUAAAAGGUACCUACUUUUGCUGUGAAAAUUUGUUGUCUCUGGCCUGAAAUUCUUGACUUGUGUGACUUCAAUCUGCUGGAGGUAUCUGAUGGUAUUGCCCGUUGGAAAUAUUAAAGCUUUGAAGAAACUUUUUUGAGACCUUACAUGAGACACUGACAACUCUCAAUUUUUUUGCUGGGAAUAAUGUGAUCUGUGACCAUGUGAUUAAUCCUAACGCGCAGAAGGGACUGGUGGUGAAAUAUGGAGGAGUAGGAGUAGGUAUGAUUUUGGCAAACACAGUUGUGUCGCAUUAGAUUUUUUUGCUGGGAAUAAUGUGAUCUGUGACCAUGGAGGAGUAGGAGUAGGAGGAGGUGCAAAACCGAAGCAUGGCGCAGCCCUAAAUAUCAUCAUGAAAACUAUGAAGCGGAACUUCGUGUUCUUGGCAAAUCACAGUCAGUGGCGGGGUUUCACUCUACAGAGGAAAAAGGAUGCUGUCAACAAAUAAGCAAAAUAUACCGGUAGCGUGUAUACUGGUAGUUCACCAACCCCUGACCGGCUGUUCCCACUUCCUUGUUUUGGAAGCAACUUUAAAUUGCUGCAUUGUUGCUGCUGUAGGAUUGUGAUUUGUGACCGUGGGAUGGGAUUUGUCCGAGAGCGCAGAAGGGACGGGUGGUGACAGAUGCUGGGGAGUAGGUAUGAUCUUGGCAAACACAACCUGCAAAUGGAGAGGAGGUUGUUGCAGAUUCCCAACUGGUUCCUGCUUUUGACACUCCACAGAACUGUCACUAACGUUGGCCCUCUGGUUUUGAACUACCACGCCAUUGUUUCACCGUUCAAAGGUGCUUAUAUGAAAGUUGAGGCCUCGGACGCUGAAUGUCACCAAAGCCAAUCAGAAGCUGUCUUAUAAAAUCUCAUUCACUUCAAAAUUCCAGCAGGCAGUCCCCCGGUCGGAGGGUUGGUGUGGAAGGAUGGAGUGUAGAGGGUGAGAAGCCCUAUUGUUGUACUCCGGCUGCCACCGCCAUAAAUCGUGCACUGGAUUUUUUUUUUUUUUUUUUUUUUUUUGGCGCGAAUUAAUUUCAAUGUGUGUUUUCAUUAAUGUUUUUGAUUAAACAGAUUUUCUGUAAUAGUUAGCCUUUUUCCUUGCUUCUUGCCAUGAUCUUCUAGCUGUUGUCAACCUUACAACACAAGCGAAACAAGAAAGUGUAGUGAAAACGUAGAUUAUGCAAGUUCAAAUCUAGGCAAAUUUUUUUGUAAUUUCAUAAGCAAUUUGUGGAGUUCUAGUAGUUUUGUAGCUAACAACAUAUAUAUCAAAGAUCUCAGAGUAGUAGCGUUAUUACCGUGACAUCAGAUUAGAUGCCAAACAACCAUUAAUCGCCUGCUUUCUGCCUACUAUGCCGAUCCGGAG
Long non-coding RNA from Pyrus x bretschneideri (Chinese white pear), 2347 nucleotides. RefSeq lists it as uncharacterized. The transcript has 3 exons. The record is from RefSeq and is a predicted model, not a curated record. NCBI's taxonomy places the organism in Eukaryota, Viridiplantae, Streptophyta, Magnoliopsida, Rosales, Rosaceae.